GCUAUCUUAGCUCAGUUGGUAGAGCACAUCCUUGGUAAGGAUGAGGUCGUCAGUUCAAAUCUGAUAGAUAGCUCCA
This 76-nucleotide transfer RNA is filed under the name Ruminococcus sp. Its description in RNAcentral is "tRNA-Thr". It matches the Rfam family "tRNA". From Rfam's summary of the family: Transfer RNA (tRNA) molecules are approximately 80 nucleotides in length. Their secondary structure includes four short double-helical elements and three loops (D, anti-codon, and T loops). Further hydrogen bonds mediate the characteristic L-shaped molecular structure. tRNAs have two regions of fundamental functional importance: the anti-codon, which is responsible for specific mRNA codon recognition, and the 3' end, to which the tRNAs corresponding amino acid is attached (by aminoacyl-tRNA synthetases). tRNAs cope with the degeneracy of the genetic code in two manners: having more than one tRNA (with a specific anti-codon) for a particular amino acid; and 'wobble' base-pairing, i.e. permitting non-standard base-pairing at the 3rd anti-codon position. RNAcentral also lists the same sequence under 2 other names. Lineage: Bacteria; Bacillati; Bacillota; Clostridia; Eubacteriales; Oscillospiraceae. The record is from RNAcentral.